UAGCAUAUCAAUAAGCGGAGGAAAAGAAACUAACAAGGAUUCCCCUAGUAACUGCGAAGUGAAGCGGGAAAAGCUCAAAUUUAAAAUCUGGCGGCUCUGCCGUCCGAGUUGUAAUCUGGAGAAGUGUUUUCCGCGUUGGACCGUGUACAAGUCUCUUGGAACGGAGCGUCAUUGAGGGUGAGAACCCCGUCUCUGACACGGACUGCCAAUGCUUUGUGAUACACUCUCGAAGAGUCGAGUUGUUUGGGAAUGCAGCUCAAAAUGGGUGGUAAAUUCCAUCUAAAGCUAAAUAUUGGCGAGAGACCGAUAGCGAACAAGUACCGUGAGGGAAAGAUGAAAAGCACUUUGGAAAGAGAGUUAAACAGUACGUGAAAUUGUUGAAAGGGAAACGCUUGAAGUCAGUCGCGUCUUCCGGGACUCAGCCUUGCUCUUGCUUGGUGUACUUCCCGGUCGAUGGGUCAACAUCGGUUUUGGUCGGUGGAUAAAGGCUUGGGGAAUGUGGCACCUCCGGGUGUGUUAUAGCCCCUUGUUGUAUACGCUGGCUGGGACCGAGGACUGCAGCACGCCUUCUAGGCCGGGGGAUCCGUCCCCACGUAACGUGCUCCGGAUGUUGGCAUAAUGGCUUUAAGCGACCCGUCUUGAAACACGGACCAAGGAGUCUAACAUGCCCGCGAGUGUUAGGGUGGCAAACCCUUGCGCGUAAUGAAAGUGAAAGUUGGGACCUCUGUUGUGGGGGGCACCGACGCCCGGACCUGAUCUCUUGUGACGGCCCUGCGGUAGAGCGUGUAUGUUGGGACCCGAAAGAUGGUGAACUAUGCCUGAACAGGGUGAAGCCAGAGGAAACUCUGGUGGAGGCUCGUAGCGAUUCUGACGUGCAAAUCGAUCGUCAAAUUUGGGUAUAGGGGCGAAAGACUAAUCGAACCAUCUAGUAGCUGGUUCCUGCCGAU
RNAcentral lists this ribosomal RNA (947 nucleotides) under Repetobasidium glaucocanum. RNAcentral describes it as "LSU rRNA". It matches the Rfam family "Eukaryotic large subunit ribosomal RNA", at positions 36 to 965 of the family's 3401-position model. The record is from RNAcentral. Lineage: Eukaryota; Fungi; Basidiomycota; Agaricomycetes; Hymenochaetales.